This 46-nucleotide non-coding RNA is filed under the name Schistosoma margrebowiei. Lineage: Eukaryota; Metazoa; Platyhelminthes; Trematoda; Strigeidida; Schistosomatidae. The record is from RNAcentral.
AUCCAGCUGACGAGUUCCAAAUACUGACGAAACGCACUUCUUGGAU